This 908-nucleotide ribosomal RNA is filed under the name Penicillium oxalicum. Its description in RNAcentral is "LSU rRNA". It matches the Rfam family "Eukaryotic large subunit ribosomal RNA", at positions 38 to 964 of the family's 3401-position model. Lineage: Eukaryota; Fungi; Ascomycota; Eurotiomycetes; Eurotiales; Aspergillaceae. The record is from RNAcentral.
GCAUAUCAAUAAGCGGAGGAAAAGAAACCAACAGGGAUUGCCUCAGUAACGGCGAGUGAAGCGGCAAGAGCUCAAAUUUGAAAGCUGGCUCCUUCGGGGUCCGCAUUGUAAUUUGCAGAGGAUGCUUCGGGAGCGGCCCCCAUCUAAGUGCCCUGGAACGGGCCGUCAUAGAGGGUGAAAAUCCCGUCUGGGAUGGGGUGUCCGCGCCCGUGUGAAGCUCCUUCGACGAGUCGAGUUGUUUGGGAAUGCAGCUCUAAAUGGGUGGUAAAUUUCAUCUAAAGCUAAAUAUUGGCCGGAGACCGAUAGCGCACAAGUAGAGUGAUCGAAAGAUGAAAAGCACUUUGAAAAGAGAGUUAAACAGCACGUGAAAUUGUUGAAAGGGAAGCGCUUGCGACCAGACUCGCCCACGGGGUUCAGCCGGCAUUCGUGCCGGUGUACUUCCCCGCGGGCGGGCCAGCGUCGGUUUGGGCGGCCGGUCAAAGGCCCUCGGAAUGUAACGCCCCCCGGGGCGUCUUAUAGCCGAGGGUGCCAUGCGGCCAGCCCAGACCGAGGAACGCGCUUCGGCUCGGACGCUGGCAUAAUGGUCGUAAGCGACCCGUCUUGAAACACGGACCAAGGAGUCUAACAUCUACGCGAGUGUUCGGGUGUCAAACCCGUGCGCGCAGUGAAAGCGAACGGAGGUGGGAACCCCUCGGGGUGCACCAUCGACCGAUCCUGAUGUCUUCGGAUGGAUUUGAGUAUGAGCGUAGCUGUUGGGACCCGAAAGAUGGUGAACUAUGCCUGAAUAGGGUGAAGCCAGAGGAAACUCUGGUGGAGGCUCGCAGCGGUUCUGACGUGCAAAUCGAUCGUCAAAUUUGGGUAUAGGGGCGAAAGACUAAUCGAACCAUCUAGUAGCUGGUUCCUGCCGA